RNAcentral lists this ribosomal RNA (497 nucleotides) under uncultured bacterium. RNAcentral describes it as "partial 16S ribosomal RNA". It matches the Rfam family "Bacterial small subunit ribosomal RNA", at positions 28 to 507 of the family's 1533-position model. The record is from RNAcentral.
GAUGAACGCUGGCGGCGUGCCUAAUACAUGCAAGUCGAGCGAACGUACGAGAAGCUUGCUUCUCGGAUGUUAGCGGCGGACGGGUGAGUAACACGUGGAUAACCUAUCUAUAAGACUGGGAUAACUUCGGGAAACCGGAGCUAAUACCGGAUGAUAUUUUGACCCGCAUGGAUCAAAAGUGAAAGACGGUCUUGCUGUCACUUAUAGAUGGAUCCGCGCUGCAUUAGCUAGUUGGUAAGGUAACGGCUUACCAAGGCAACGAUGCAUAGCCGACCUGAGAGGGUGAUCGGCCACACUGGAACUGAGACACGGUCCAGACUCCUACGGGAGGCAGCAGUAGGGAAUCUUCCGCAAUGGGCGAAAGCCUGACGGAGCAACGCCGCGUGAGUGAUGAAGGUCUUCGGAUCGUAAAACUCUGUUAUUAGGGAAGAACAUAUGUGUAAGUAACUGUGCACAUCUUGACGGUACCUAAUCAGAAAGCCACGGCUAACUACGUG